UAUGUCCCAUCUAGAAGCUCUUCUGAAAUGAAUGGCAUUAUUACAACAACGUAUAUAAUCUUGUUGAAUUUCUGUUUCUCAUAGGCACCAGGAAUCUUUCAACUUUGUAAGCUCAAUUACCUUAUAGGAACGCUUGUUUUUCUUCCUUACAGUAUCCACUUGUUACCUGUUACUUCUGUAAGAUCCAAGAUUAACUCGUCUUUCCUUUCAGAUUUGAGUACACAUUUGUUUUUUUUUUCCUUAGGUAGAACUGGUAAGCAAUAUAUAAAUAAGAUACUUUCUAAAGCUGAAUAUUACUCAAGAAAACAAUGCAAGUUUUCCCAAGUUAAGAUGUCUUUCCCCAUACCCUCUUACAAAAGUUGUGUCAUCUCUACUUAAUUAGCAUUGACGUGAUAUCAGCUGACAGUUGUACAGGCUGUUCAGAGACCUUUGUGUUGCAAUGUGGUGUUCCUUUUCACUGUGGGAUGAUUAGAUUGCUCUGCAGUACUGGACUCCAUCAUAACACAUUAAAAGUUAACCCAUUCAUCUUCUUGAAAGAAUAGGUGCUGCCAGAUAGAAACCUUUCUUCCCAGAAUGUUUGUAGCUUGAAUAAUUGGGUAAAUUGUAAUCAUUUCAGAUUUCCUGGAUAAAAAAAUUCUUAGGCAAUAGUUAGAAACUUCCGUAUAUAAAUUGAGUGUGCAGCAAGAAUAGAAAGGAGAGAAGAACAUUAAAGAAAGAUUAGAAUCCACUUCUCUUUGUGCUGAAGAUACUUCAAGUUCUUAUUAAGGUAGAGAAAUCAUCAGAAAAUUACAAGACAACUUACUGUUGAGUCAAGUAUCCUAAAAAGUACUGUGCUUUCAAACAGAUAGAGUUUAUUUUUUUUCUCCUACUCUAAACAGUUGAUGAAUUCCUUCCAAUUAAAUGUACAUUUCAGAGUGGGAACAUUCCUGUGGCUUUGUGAAAGCCAGCCAAACAGAAGGUGAUUCAUAGUAAGGUUCUCCUUUGUGGGGAUCCUGAAUUAAUCAAAAUAUUUAUGGAGAAAAUAUUGCAGGUGUACAACAUCUCAAAAUAACUGCUUUUUUCAAAUUCUUUUUAGGACUUGCUAUUUUUAUUCUCCUAGUUCUGCACAUGCGUUGUAUGUGAAGUUAUACUGCUAUAUGAUAGGAAUGUAAACAUAAUUUUCUUCCUCUAUAUUGUGUAAUAAGUCUUCAAGUUUUUUUUUUUUAGUUUGGAAAAUUAAAGUAGAUUAGUCAGUAACUAAUUAUUUAUUAAACAGAAUUGUUGGCGGUGCAAGUUAUUUUGGAAUUUUGCAUCUCUGUGCUGGCUUAUCUCAUACUAACUGUGAGCUAUUCCCCGUUAUAUUAAGAGCACAGUGUGGCCUCUUUGCCAUCCUUUUUUCACAUUCAGCUUUGACAUGACUCUCAUCUCUGUCGUGAUAAUGAUCAUCUCAGAAAAAUGGCAGAAAAAGAAAAGAGAAGUCCACAUUUGAGCUUACUUUGAAGAAGACAUGACUUCUUACAGUUUCUUUUUGCAGCUGUGGGAAAGAGCACUGAAAGUCGGCUCUGAACUUUUUCUGAAAGCAGGCAGAAUUCUGCUCAUUCUCAUGUACUAUGGGAAAAAAGAAGUUCAAAGAUGUGCAACUUGGAGCCAUAUUUCCUGUUCUUCUUUCUUUAGUUUCUCAAGAUUGUGGCUGCUGAGGCAAGCACACAUCACAAAAAACACUGCUGAGAUACCUUUGGCUGUUUCUGGGGAGCAUCAUGUGAGCUAAUAAACUGGCCUUCCAGUUUGUCUGAAAUCAGUAAAAUGAAUGAUGUGUUAAGAAAAUAUGUUCUUGGUGACUGCUGUAGAGAGGUAGCUGUAUUCUGGUGGGUGUGAAGCUUACCUUACUGCUGAGGUGUUUGUGUUUAAGGUAGUCCAAAGGAAUGAUACAGAGAAGGAAGUUGCAAGGUCAGGGGAUUUGAUCAGAACAUCCAAUCGAUCUGCAUUCUGCUUCGAUAUGACUACAGUAUACCUCUGUUUCACAAGGCUAAGCCUACAGCCUUAUGCCACCCAGAAGCUUUGUCCCAGUUGUCAGACCUAUCCUCAGAUCAUCAUCCUACCAAGUGACCUCUUUUGUGGAUGGAAGUAAGUGGACUAGAGAGCCUCUGAUGAAAGCAACAGCUGAGGAAGUGCUAUACUAAGAAAUCAGUUCUGCCUCUGUGGUGGUGAUAGUCUCUGUGAAGUUUGCUCAGUGCCAACAGUGAAUUAACACAGACCUAAUGAAUAAUUAAAGGACCUGAAUUCAUAACUGUUGUGAAUGCUUCACUGCUUAAAGCACUUUUUCAUUAAGGUUGAUUUUUACUCAAGAUCUCCACCUUAUCCUCUGAAUCCCUGAGAAUGAUGUGUUUGAUUAUGUCUCUCUGUACUAGUCAGAAAAUAUUCAGGCUUAGAUUUCAUCCACAACUCAACAUAAUGGUCUUCAGUAUAAACAGAGAUUAAGUUAAUUAGUUUAGAGAUCUGUUGUAGGUCUAGCCUUUCUUUAGCCCUUUUUCUUACAUCUCUUUACCUGACUUGUUCUCUUCCUGUUUAUUGUACCCUUGCAAGAAAGAGCACAACUCUUUGUGUUUAUUGUCCCUAUCAGUUUAAAUUACAGAUUUGACCUGACAUUAAACUGUUCCUUUUUUUUUGUACUGGAGGGAAAAAAAAUCUGAAACACCAUGUCAUAUGAUGAUAUCCUUCACUUUCGUUGAACCAUCUGGAGUUCUGGAGACAGAGCUGCAAACUGUCAACAUCUCCUGAUGGAAAGCAAAUAGAGUUGGCAAAAAGGGAAGUUUAAGCUGGAGAAUCAUCCUGUAUAAAGUUUAGAGCAGUUCAAUGCUGGAGGAAGGAAAUCAUUAUCUGUCAAAGAACUUCAUCCUGCCCCAAAGCCAUAGCACUAGGACAUUGCUAAUGCUGUUCCCUUGAAGAUUAUGCUCACAUGCUAGAUUUCAGUGGAAAACAGAGUUUGCGUUUAAUAUUUGGAAAGCUUUUGUUCCAAACAAGAGAAAGAGGUCUAAUCUUCCAUAUCUAAACUCCCUUAAUUGAAGGAAAUGAGGAGGACUAGCUGCUGCAUCUAUCACUCCCUUCACUAAUAAAACUGAUACACAUUUGACUUUAUAUUAUGCAUAAAACAAGUCAAUGCUGGGUUACUGAGCUGUACAUAACAAUAGUUACAUUGAUGACUGUGGAU
This is a long non-coding RNA of Numida meleagris (helmeted guineafowl), 3187 nucleotides long. RefSeq lists it as uncharacterized. The record is from RefSeq and is a predicted model, not a curated record. The transcript has 3 exons. Lineage: Eukaryota; Metazoa; Chordata; Aves; Galliformes; Numididae.